Molecule: long non-coding RNA, 374 nt
Filed under: Oryctolagus cuniculus (rabbit)
Lineage: Eukaryota; Metazoa; Chordata; Mammalia; Lagomorpha; Leporidae
Description: lncRNA (ENSOCUG00000032496.1)
Source: RNAcentral
AUAAGUGCCAUCUUUUCUUUCCAGGACCAAAGAAAAAGCAGCAGGAAAAAGGCGGCUAAAAAAAAAAAAAAAAAAUCAGAAACCAAAAACAGGUCUCGGGCUCGCCGGGCGCACCAGGCUGUUGGGCCCUCUUGGGGCCAGUGCUGGGUGCUUGAAGAGGGUGUGAGAAAGAAGUCCUCUCCUCUGCUUGGCUUGGGCAAGGCUCAAGAUGUAGAUGUGCUGCCCUGCGAAUCCCUUUGCCCACGGAACUGAUGUCGACGAGACCCGUUGAAAGGUCAGCAUUACUGUGUCCCUUGCCCAGCUUCCCAUGGUGUGCCACACUUCCUGCCCUACACAGGAUAAAGUAGAAUAAAGUCUGUUAUUCAGAAGCUUCA